RNAcentral lists this non-coding RNA (23 nucleotides) under Cricetulus griseus (Chinese hamster). Lineage: Eukaryota; Metazoa; Chordata; Mammalia; Rodentia; Cricetidae. The record is from RNAcentral.
AGUGGUUCUUUGCAAGGUCUAGG